UUGCAGUAUUGUUGCAUGUUAAUGAGAAUCUCAAUUGACUGCAAAGGGUGUUACAAAAAACUAAGACGAACUCUUCUCAAUAUGAAAGAGUUGGAAACACAUGUGAUAGAAAGACAAUACAACAGAGUAAGCGUAUGCGGGAGAUUCAGGCCAUCUGAUGUGGCCAUAAAGAUUAGGAAAAGGAUGAAUCGAAGGGUGGAGAUUUUGGAAAUUCAAGAGUUUGAUGAAGGAAUUCCUCAAGAACAACCCCUUGAUAAUCAACCUAUGGGAAAUGGUCAUUCUCAUGCUCAUGUUGCAUAAUGUAUAUUAAUUUUUUUUAUGAAACCAGCAUUUGACCUACACUAAGUACAAAGAUGUUUAUACUGGCUGAAAUAGUGUUGGUUGAAAGGUUAUCGGUUCGAUGUUGGAUAACAAAAUUCAAAUUAAUAGUCCCUGGAAUGUUAGAAAUACAGAUAAGUUGUAAAGUCGGUUUUAUGUAAGUGUGAAUAUAUACAUACCAAACAUUCUAGCUACUAAUUGAAUGUAGCUGGAUUAUUUAAACAA
Molecule: long non-coding RNA, 543 nt
Organism: Chenopodium quinoa (quinoa)
Lineage: Eukaryota; Viridiplantae; Streptophyta; Magnoliopsida; Caryophyllales; Amaranthaceae
Exons: 2
Source: RefSeq, a predicted model, not a curated record